GACGAACGCUGGCGGCGUGCUUAACACAUGCAAGUCGAACGAAGAGCGAUGGAAGCUUGCUUCUAUCAAUCUUAGUGGCGAACGGGUGAGUAACGCGUAAUCAACCCGCCCUUCAGAGGGGGACAACAGUUGGAAACGACUGCUAAUACCGCAUACGAUCUAACCUCGGCAUCGAGGAUAGAUGAAAGGUGGCCUCUACAUGUAAGCUAUCACUGAAGGAGGGGAUUGCGUCUGAUUAGCUAGUUGGAGGGGUAACGGCCCACCAAGGCGAUGAUCAGUAGCCGGUCUGAGAGGAUGAACGGCCACAUUGGGAGUGUGACACGGCCCAGACUACUACGGGAGGCAGCAGUGGGGAAUCUUCCGCAAUGAGCGAAAGACUGACGGAGCAACGCCGCGUGAGUGAUGACGGCCUUCGGGUUGUGAAGCUCUGUUAAUCGGGACGAAAGGCCUUCUUGCGAAUAGUGAGAAGGAUUGACGGUACCGGAAUAGAAAGCCACGGCUAACUACGUG
Molecule: ribosomal RNA, 510 nt
Filed under: uncultured bacterium
Lineage: Bacteria
Description: partial 16S ribosomal RNA
Rfam family: Bacterial small subunit ribosomal RNA
Source: RNAcentral